UCCCUGGUGGUCUAGUGGUUAGGACUCAGCACUUUCACUGCUGUGGUCCAGGUUCAGUUCCUGGUCUGGGAA
Non-coding RNA from Sus scrofa (pig), 72 nucleotides. The record is from Rfam. NCBI's taxonomy places the organism in Eukaryota, Metazoa, Chordata, Mammalia, Artiodactyla, Suidae.